Long non-coding RNA from Scylla paramamosain (green mud crab), 1098 nucleotides. RefSeq lists it as uncharacterized. NCBI's taxonomy places the organism in Eukaryota, Metazoa, Arthropoda, Malacostraca, Decapoda, Portunidae. The transcript is spliced from 2 exons. The record is from RefSeq and is a predicted model, not a curated record.
UUUCAGCCUUUGAAUGAGAGUUAAUACAUAUGAAAUUGAGAAUUCUAUACAAAUAAUUCUAGAAUCCAGUGAACUCCAUUCCAGCCUUUGAAUGCUGCCAUCAUCUAUAAUUUAUUCAGAUUUCAUUUCAGUGCAACAUAAAAGCAGUACAAUAUCAUGAAUACAUAUGUGUACAUUUUAUCCGAAUUAUAUAUUAUACUAUAUUAAACUAAUAUAUAAAGUCACAGACAUUUGGAUCUGAAAGUGGCCAUUAUCUCUCCCAGUCCACAUGGUAGUAACACUCCAGAUGCAUUUAUUUUGUCUUAUUCUCUCUCACAAAACAUUUAUGCUGAACAUACUUCAUGCAGUACAGUGAGAUCCUAGUUUGCACAUGACCCAUGGAACCAAGGUAUUGUUUAGCCCACUUCCAAGGAAUUGCUCUGAGAGUGCUUGAAACAGAGAAUCACUAGAUGGUAUUACACUAUGUGCAAGUUAAGUUUGGUUUCCCAUUAUACUAUGAAGGUGUGGCAUUAUAUUUUACAACUACAUAGAUCUUACCAAAUUUUAGAAUUUUCUAUGGAAAUUUAGAAAUUAAGGCGGGAAAAGUCUGAACUCUCUGUGGUGACCAUGAAUGAGUAAUUUUACUGAGCAAUUGAAAUAUGUAUUGUCUGGCAGGAAUGGGUGUGCAACCUCCGAGGAUCUAUUCUGGAAGUUAGAUGCCUUACAGUCUUUCAUUCGAGACCUUCAUUGGCCAGAUCAUGAUUUUGCCAAACACCUUGAACAAAGGUUAAAGUUGAUGGCAUGUGAUAUGAUUGAGUCCUGUAUCACAAGGACAGAUCAAGCCUUCCAACAGUGGCUGAAAAAGGGUACCGGCUUUGUCUCCACAGACUAUGUGCUCCCAUCUGAAAUGUGUGCCAUGGUCAAUGUUAUUCUUGAUGCCAAAAAUCAGUCUUUCAAACUGUGUGCAGUGGAUGGGGUAGAUGUGGUAAGGAAUUUUUUUAUAUGUUUCCUUGCUUUUGUCUGUAAUGAGUAUUGAUUUUUUUUACUUGUUUGUUGCAAACACAAAGCACUUAUUUUUCAUUGUAGUUAUCAUCCUGCAUAAUACACUUCUCAAGAUGA